Molecule: long non-coding RNA, 853 nt
Organism: Lycium barbarum (goji berry)
Lineage: Eukaryota; Viridiplantae; Streptophyta; Magnoliopsida; Solanales; Solanaceae
Exons: 4
Source: RefSeq, a predicted model, not a curated record
UGGACCGUUGCCCAACGGUCCAAAUUAGCAGCCCAACAGUUACAAUUUUUUUUUUUUAAUUCGAUCGGUUUUACCGGUUUGGUUCCAGUUCCGAUUCCGGUUUCGAUUUUAUCGGUCCACGGUUAACCUCAACCGGUUGACGGGUUUAGUCUCUUCCAUACAUAUUUUCUCUUCCACAAUCGAAAGGAAUUGAGAAUCAUGGGAGAGAGAGUAGAUUUAGGGAAAGAAAGACAAGAUUUUGAGGGGGAAAAAAAAGGGAAAAGACGUCGAUACUUCCAAGGAGGAGGACAAAGCUUCUACACAGAGAGGUUAAAAAUUCAAAAGUUUCGGUAAUCAUCCAAGAUAUUCUUUGUGCUCGGCAAAGUUUCAGUCAUAAAUAAUCUCUGAAUGAAAUAUGGACAUGAGGCUCAUAUGAACGACUUUUAGUACUACUACACUGUGCAUAUCCAAGGUGUUUGGUGAUAUUCGUGAAGUCGCUAAUAAUAUGUUGUUGCAUUUCUUUUUCAACAAAUUCUUGCAAAGUGUUGAUCUAUCAUUCUACAACUCAAAAGAUUUGCAAAAUCAAGAGGAUAGGCAAGGAGUAGUAAGGAGACAACGAGGUAGACAAGGAGAAGGAUAAGACCCCUAGGUUGCUUCAUUAGUGAUUACACAGUAGUGCUCCAUUUGUUCUGGAGCUACAGUACAGCUGGUACUAUUCUUUUGUGUAUAUAUGGGCAUGGCGGGGUCCUGUCCCGUCCUUAUGAUUCUAUGCACUCCAUGUGGAGGCUCGUAGACAGAUAUAUAUAGUUAGAUGUUCUAUAACCUCAUCGGUUCAUAUUUUUGUGUAUCAUUUUUGGUAGCCUUGUCGGCUUGC